This 119-nucleotide ribosomal RNA is filed under the name Lepisosteus oculatus (spotted gar). Lineage: Eukaryota; Metazoa; Chordata; Actinopteri; Semionotiformes; Lepisosteidae. The record is from RNAcentral.
CCCAGCAGCCAUAUCACCCUGCAACUUACAAUUAGCAGCCCUUCUGAAGCUAAGCAGGUGUGAGCCUGGUCAGUACCUGGAUGGGAGACUCCUAGGAAAAACUAAGGUUGCUGCUGGAA